AGUUUGGUGCAGUGAUUUUAGCGUUAGAUUACAGCUCUGAAGACCAGGGUUCAAAUCCCUGCUCAGCCA
Molecule: non-coding RNA, 69 nt
Organism: Phrynosoma platyrhinos (Desert horned lizard)
Lineage: Eukaryota; Metazoa; Chordata; Lepidosauria; Squamata; Phrynosomatidae
Source: the annotation of a GenBank genome assembly